Molecule: transfer RNA, 74 nt
Filed under: Penicillium paxilli ATCC 26601
Lineage: Eukaryota; Fungi; Ascomycota; Eurotiomycetes; Eurotiales; Aspergillaceae
Description: tRNA-Phe (AAA) (tRNA-Phe-AAA-1-1)
Rfam family: tRNA
About the family: Transfer RNA (tRNA) molecules are approximately 80 nucleotides in length.
Source: RNAcentral
CCCAGGGUGGUGUAAUGGUAUUCGCAUGACCGACUAAAUCACGGUAGAUCUGGGUUCGAAUCCCAGCCCUGGCC